This 490-nucleotide ribosomal RNA is filed under the name uncultured bacterium. Its description in RNAcentral is "partial 16S ribosomal RNA". It matches the Rfam family "Bacterial small subunit ribosomal RNA", at positions 29 to 523 of the family's 1533-position model. The record is from RNAcentral.
AAUGAACGUUGGCGGCAUGGAUUAGGCAUGCAAGUCGAGCGAGAAGAGUUUUGAAGCUUGCUUUAGAACUCGGACAGCGGCGAAAGGGAGAGUAACGCGUAGUUAUGUGCCCUAGGGUCCGGAAUAGCCACGGGAAACUGUGGGUAAUGCCGGAUAAUAUCCCCGGAUCAAAGGUGUGAUUCCGCCCUAGGAGCAGACUGCGUCCUACUAGCUAGUUGGUGGGGUAAUGGCCCACCAAGGCAAUGAUGGGUAGCGGGUGUGAGAGCAUGACCCGUCUCACUGGGACUGAGACACUGCCCAGACACCUACGGGUGGCUGCAGUCGAGAAUCUUCGGCAAUGGGCGAAAGCCUGACCGAGCGAUGCCGCGUGCGGGAUGAAGGCCCUCGGGUUGUAAACCGCUGUCGUAGGGGAGGAAGGUUCCGUGAAGAGCGGGACUUGACCUAUCCUAGGAGGAAGUACGGGCUAAGUUCGUGCCAGCCGCCGCCGUAA